This is a non-coding RNA of Acanthosepion pharaonis, 112 nucleotides long. NCBI's taxonomy places the organism in Eukaryota, Metazoa, Mollusca, Cephalopoda, Sepiida, Sepiidae. The record is from the annotation of a GenBank genome assembly.
AUGGUCAUAUCAUAUUAAGACACCAGUUCUUGUACGAUCCCCAAAGUUAAGCAAUAUUGAGCCUGGUCAGUACCUAGAUUGAUGACCACUGUGGAAUAUUAGGUGCUGUAAG